RNAcentral lists this ribosomal RNA (300 nucleotides) under Myzus persicae (green peach aphid). The stretch from base 1 to 57 matches the Rfam family "Eukaryotic small subunit ribosomal RNA", at positions 1775 to 1831 of the family's 1831-position model. The record is from RNAcentral. Lineage: Eukaryota; Metazoa; Arthropoda; Insecta; Hemiptera; Aphididae.
AGAGGAAGUAAAAGUCGUAACAAGGUUUCCGUAGGUGAACCUGCGGAAGGAUCAUUAGAGACGGGCCCGCGGCACUGGCGACACUCGUCGGUCUCGCGCGCGCCUCAUCCGACCGAGCGUCGACCGAAAGAUGGUUACACCAUCGAAAGACCGUCCGCGGCCCCCGGGCCGUGGAAAAAUUUCGACAAAAACAAAAACACCCGACCCCGAACGGCGGAUCACUUGGCUCGUGGAUCGAUGAAGACCGCAGCUAUCUGCGCGUCGUCGUGUAAUCCGCAGGUUAUACGAACAUCGACCAGU